Molecule: ribosomal RNA, 372 nt
Filed under: uncultured organism
Description: bacterial SSU rRNA
Rfam family: Bacterial small subunit ribosomal RNA
Source: RNAcentral
CGUAGGGUGCGAGCGUUAAUCGGAAUUACUGGGCGUAAAGCGUGCGCAGGCGGUUUUGUAAGACAAGCGUGAAAUCCCCGGGCUCAACCUGGGAACUGCGCUUGUGACUGCAAGGCUAGAGUACGGCAGAGGAGGGUGGAAUUCCACGUGUAGCAGUGAAAUGCGUAGAGAUGUGGAGGAACACCAAUGGCGAAGGCAGCCCCCUGGGUCGAUACUGACGCUCAUGCACGAAAGCGUGGGUAGCAAACAGGAUUAGAUACCCUGGUAGUCCACGCCCUAAACGAUGUCAACUAGGUGUUGGGUGGGUAAAACCAUUUAGUACCGGAGCUAACGCGUGAAGUUGACCGCCUGGGGAGUACGGCCGCAAGGUUA